GACGAACGCUGGCGGCGUGCUUAACACAUGCAAGUCGAACGGAAAGGCCCUGCUUUUGUUGGUUGCUCGAGUGUCGAACGGGUGAGUAACACGUGAGUAACCUGCCCUUGACUUUGGGAUAACUUCAGGAAACUGGGGCUAAUACCGGAUAGGAGCUCCUGCUGCAUGGUGGGGGUUGGAAAGUUUCGGCGGUUGUGGAUGGACUCGCGGCUUAUCAGCUUGUUGGUGGGGUAGUGGCUUACCAAGGCUUUGACGGGUAGCCGGCCUGAGAGGGUGACCGGCCACAAUGGGACUGAGAUAGGGCCCAGACUCCUACGGGAGGCAGCAGUGGGGAAUAUUGCACAAUGGGCGGAAGCCUGAUGCAGAAACGCCGCGUGCGGGAUGACGGCCUUCGGGUUGUAAACCGCUUUCGCCUGUGACGAAGAGUGAGUGACGGUAAUGGGUAAAGAAGCACCGGCUAACUACGUG
Molecule: ribosomal RNA, 468 nt
Filed under: uncultured bacterium
Lineage: Bacteria
Description: partial 16S ribosomal RNA
Rfam family: Bacterial small subunit ribosomal RNA
Source: RNAcentral